GGAAGCGGCCCUUCCAUGUUCUACACAUCUCAGCUGGUCUGAUCCAUACAAUUUAGCCCGAAUGUGCCAAACAGUGAUAAAGUUGGGGUGUGGCGACCCACCUUCGAUGCAAGCGAACCGGCUCCGAAGUUGGUGUGCGAGUCGGCAGACAGGCCAGCCACAAAAUGGCGCUGGGCCUUCUUCAACAACGAGGGGAGAAAACCCGCAUGCGGGAAGAGGUUCGGUUGGCGCACCUCUGACGUCAUCGCCACGCAUCAAGCGCAGGAACUUAACGGCUUAAAAACCAGUGCGGCAAGAUUCAAAUAAACCAGUCUCAAGUUCAA
Molecule: long non-coding RNA, 323 nt
Organism: Pristis pectinata (smalltooth sawfish)
Lineage: Eukaryota; Metazoa; Chordata; Chondrichthyes; Rhinopristiformes; Pristidae
Exons: 2
Source: RefSeq, a predicted model, not a curated record